ACAGUUUAAGAUAAAACAGAGGCUUAGCUGUCAGCUCUGGCCCGCAGGGAAUCAGGAAAGUGAUAAAGCAAGUAAAAGAUUCAUAGAUUUCAAAAUGUGAGAAAAGGAAGUAGGGCAGAUUGUCUCCUGAGUACAGGUGCAAAACAGAAAGGUGGAAUGGAUAGCCUUUGUGAAGCCUCAGCUCUACCAUGAAGGUCCUCUUCAGGAGAAUAAUCCAGAGUGUCUCGAAUCAAUAAUUAACCUGCAUUCUGAACCUGGCAGUGAUUUCUCAGACAUUUGGUUCCCUGACUGCACAGCUCUCAUCCAUUCUGCCUGUGUAGAAAAAGGCUUUUCUACUCAAAAUUCAUGAUACUGGAAACAUUCCUACAGAAUGAUACAGAGUCUAGCCCUGCACAAUUUUCUACAGAUUUUCCAAUGUGCUGUUCUUGUGUUAAUCUUCAUCUGAGCAGUGUGCAUGAACAGACUGACAUCAACAUUUGUACUGAGGGAAGAAAAUAAAU
Molecule: non-coding RNA, 500 nt
Organism: Cyanistes caeruleus (blue tit)
Lineage: Eukaryota; Metazoa; Chordata; Aves; Passeriformes; Paridae
Source: RefSeq, a predicted model, not a curated record